This 76-nucleotide small nuclear RNA is filed under the name Homo sapiens (human). RNAcentral describes it as "partial ncRNA". Lineage: Eukaryota; Metazoa; Chordata; Mammalia; Primates; Hominidae. The record is from RNAcentral.
AAAUCACUUGGACCAGGAAGGCAGAGGUUGCAGUGAGCCAAGAUCAUGCCACUGCACUCCAGCCUGGGCGACAGAG